GGCCUAACACAUGCAAGUCGAGCGGAAACGACACUAACAAUCCUUCGGGUGCGUUAAUGGGCGUCGAGCGGCGGACGGGUGAGUAAUGCCUAGGAAAUUGCCUUGAUGUGGGGGAUAACCAUUGGAAACGAUGGCUAAUACCGCAUAAUGCCUACGGGCCAAAGAGGGGGACCUUCGGACCUCUCGCGUCAAGAUAUGCCUAGGUGGGAUUAGCUAGUUGGUGAGGUAAUGGCUCACCAAGGCGACGAUCCCUAGCUGGUCUGAGAGGAUGAUCAGCCACACUGGAACUGAGACACGGUCCAGACUCCUACGGGAGGCAGCAGUGGGGAAUAUUGCACAAUGGGCGAAAGCCUGAUGCAGCCAUGCCGCGUGUAUGAAGAAGGCCUUCGGGUUGUAAAGUACUUUCAGUUGUGAGGAAGGGGGUAGCGUUAAUAGCGCUAUCUCUUGACGUUAGCAACAGAAGAAGCACCGGCUAACUCCGUGCCAGCAGCCGCGGUAAUACGGAGGGUGCGAGCGUUAAUCGGAAUUACUGGGCGUAAAGCGCAUGCAGGUGGUUCAUUAAGUCAGAUGUGAAAGCCCGGGGCUCAACCUCGGAACUGCAUUUGAAACUGGUGAACUAGAGUACUGUAGAGGGGGGUAGAAUUUCAGGUGUAGCGUUGAAAUGCGUAGAGAUCUGAAGGAAUACCAGUGGCGAA
Molecule: ribosomal RNA, 695 nt
Filed under: Vibrio sp. COH-07
Lineage: Bacteria; Pseudomonadati; Pseudomonadota; Gammaproteobacteria; Vibrionales; Vibrionaceae
Description: bacterial SSU rRNA
Rfam family: Bacterial small subunit ribosomal RNA
Source: RNAcentral